UUUGGGCAUCAUUGCAAAAGGUAUAUUUGGCACAAAAUCAACACUGCUCAUCACCAAAAGAACACCAUACCUACAGUGAAGCAUGGUGGUGGCAGCAUCAUGCUUUGGGGCUGUUUUUCUUCAGCUGGAACUGGUGCCUUAGUCAGGGUGGAGGGAAUUAUGAACAGUUCCAAAUACCAGUCAGUGUUGGCAGAUGAAGAUGAAGAUGAAGAGGAACUUCAUCUUUCAGCACGACAGUGACCCAAAGCACACAUCUAAAUCAACAAAAGAAUGGCUUCACCUGAAUAAGAUUGAGACUUUGGAAUGGCCCAGCCAAAGUCCAGACCUGAAUCCCAUCGAACAUUUGUGGGGUGAUCUGAAGAGGGCUGUGCACAGGAGAUGCCCUCGCAAUCUGUCAGAUUUGGAGCGGUUUUGCAAAGAAGAGUGGGAAAAUAUUUCCACAUCAAGAUGUGCCACGCUGAUAGACUCCUACCCAAAAAGACUGAAUGCUGUAAUAAAAGCCAAAGGUGCUGCAACAAAGUAUUAGUUUAAGGGUGUGCAUAUUUAUGCAACCAGGUCAUUUUAACUUUUCUAUUUUUAAUUUUCCCCUUAAAGGUUUCAGUUUGUUUUUCAAUUGCAUUGUACAGUUUAUAGGUCACAUUAAAGGUGGAAAAAGUUGUGAAAAAAUGUAUCUUGCUGUCAUUUUCUUACAUCACAAAAACCUGGCAGUUGAACACGGGUGUGUAGACUUUUUAUAUCCACUGUA
Non-coding RNA from Xyrichtys novacula (pearly razorfish), 745 nucleotides. NCBI's taxonomy places the organism in Eukaryota, Metazoa, Chordata, Actinopteri, Labriformes, Labridae. The record is from the annotation of a GenBank genome assembly.